GACGAACGCUGGCGGCGUGCUUAACACAUGCAAGUCGAACGGAAAGGCCCUGCUUUUGUGGGGUGCUCGAGUGGCGAACGGGUGAGUAACACGUGAGUAACCUGCCCUUGACUUUGGGAUAACUUCAGGAAACUGGGGCUAAUACCGGAUAGGAGCUCCUGCUGCAUGGUGGGGGUUGGAAAGUUUCGGUGGUUGGGGAUGGACUCGCGGCUUAUCAGCUUGUUGGUGGGGUAGUGGCUUACCAAGGCUUUGACGGGUAGCCGGCCUGAGAGGGUGACCGGCCACAUUGGGACUGAGAUACGGCCCAGACUCCUACGGGAGGCAGCAGUGGGGAAUAUUGCACAAUGGGCGGAAGCCUGAUGCAGCAACGCCGCGUGCGGGAUGACGGCCUUCGGGUUGUAAACCGCUUUCGCCCGUGACGAAGCGUGAGUGACGGUAAUGGGUAAAGAAGCACCGGCUAACUACGUG
RNAcentral lists this ribosomal RNA (468 nucleotides) under uncultured bacterium. RNAcentral's name for it is "partial 16S ribosomal RNA". It matches the Rfam family "Bacterial small subunit ribosomal RNA", at positions 28 to 507 of the family's 1533-position model. The record is from RNAcentral.